GGAGAGGCCACGCAGGGCUCCCAAGGAAGGCUGUAGACGGGCUGUUCAGCAGGAAGACUCAGCCUCAGAAUCAUGUUCUGAAGAAAGCAUUGGCUGACUUGUGGGGUUGGAGAAGAGGAUGGGACAUGGGGAGACCACCCAGGAGUCUGCUGUAACUGUCCUGAGAUGACCCGGGUGAAGCAGCUUUUUCCAGUGAAGGGCGUGAGGCUGAACCCAGAGAAGGCAACAGGGUGAGCCGGAGACCCAGAUGGAAAAGCACCACCCCUACGUUCCAACCAAAGUGGUUAAACUGAUCACACUGAGGAGCCUGCUGCUGAAUGCCAUGGGCAGGUCACUCCAUCUCUCUGAGCCUUUCUCUUUCCCGGAGAAAUGAAGAGGGUCAACUAGAUAUGCUCUGCAUGUGGUGAUCACAUAGCUUGUGGUCCUAAUGGUAACAACUCUGAGGGUGAAGGGAAAUAAUUAAUCAUCACCUCAAGAUAGCAGGCAGAAUCCAAGUUAGUCCUGGCGUUUCCAGAUUCCCUGAAAAUCUGGGCUUAAAACCCAAGUGUCCUCCAGUGCUGUUUCUCAACAGUUCUUUCACAGAUCAGGAGCUGGAGCCAACACACUGGUAACUAGAGUUAUAUGGAUCGGAAGUCCCUGGUGAAUUGAGCUCCUGGCCAGCUGAGAGCACUGCAAACAGUCUCUUGUGCUUCCCGGUGUGUCGUUCAGCUCUGUGGUGGUAGAAGGAAGCCCUGCUUCAGCCUCGAACACAAGGGUGGCCGAGCCUUGAUCUCUCUCUGAUGGUUGAUGGUGCUGUGGCUGCUGUGGAAUCGUGGCUCAGGCCCAACUCCUGUUAGUAAGGACUCCUCACACUGGCUAUUAUCUUUAAUCAAUCUCAGUUGGAAAAGCAAGUGGGAUUUGGAAAUAUGAGAUUCAGAUUAAAGUCUCAGGUCCACAUACCAGUAUGAGACGGUGACCUUGGACAUGGACUUUACCUGCCUGACUUCUCAUUUUCUUGCCAGUGAAUAUAGAUAAUGCCACCUAUUUGAGAGUCUAUAAACAGGAUAUAAUCAAAUCAGUGAUAUGGAAGUAUUCAGUAUAUUGUGACUUUAAAAAAAAAAACUAUUUUGAAAUAAUUUCAGAUUUAAAAGAAAGUUGCAAAAAGAAUUCCCAUGUCCUUACUCAGCAUCCUCAAAUGUUAAUGUUAUUGGACAUAAUCAUAGUUCAAUAAUCAAAUCCAGUAAAUUAACAUUUAACAAUUCAAUUAAACUAAGCUAUGGCCCUAAAAUUUUACCAAAUGUCACAGUGAAUAUUCUUUUUUGGUCCAGGAUCCCCCAGUGUGGGAUCCUGAUUUCUUUGGGUCUGUUGCCAAUUUAGAUUAUUGCAAACCCUGACAGGGCCUCAGUCUUUUUUUGUCACUUAUUACCUUGACUCUUUGGAAGAGUACAGGUUAGUUAUUUUGUAAACCGUCCCCAAAUUGUGUUUGCUUGAUAUUUCAUCAUAAUUCGAUUCAGAUUGCAUUUUUGCAAUAGGAGCACAAAGUGAAGACGUGACCUUCUCAGAGGACUGUAUACGAUGGGGUGCCUGGUGGCUGAGUGUCAUUCUGGGUGGUGUUCUCCUUUGUAUUUCAUAAGUACCUUGUGGAAGAUGUCUUGGGAUACAAUUUCCCAUCAGACUUUUGCCUACUAUUUCAGCAGCAUGGAUAAUACUUGCCUUUGAAAAUCAAAAUGGUGGUAGCUUUCUGGGACACUAUGUGAUAAGUAUUGUGAGGUCAGUUUUCUUACAAGACAGUGUGCCUGGUGUGGAGAGCAAGACAGGUGCCAUAUUGGUAAUUCCAGAAGAGAUCCGCCUCUUUUGACAAGUAGCUCUUGCCCACUAGGUCUCCUUUGGGACAACUUAAUUCCUCUGAGUGGCUGAGCACCAAGGUACCAUGAUCUACAUUGUUAGUAACCAAGUGUCAGGACAUUUACACCAGAAAGGGCCGUUUGUGUCAGGCUCCAGAUUAGCAGGGCUGGGGCCAUACUUCUCUCCUCCCAUCUUCCUGUACCAAUAUUAAUAUCUCCGCCAAGAUCAGCAUUGGAGCCAAUUGCUUGCUGUGGUCCAGGAAGGCUUCCCAGGGGAGGUGGCUGCUGGACCUUGAAGGGUGGGAGAAGUUCACUGGUGGGAGCCAAGGGCAGAUGGAAGGGCAUUAUUGCUUCAGCAGAACGUGCUCUCUUCUUCAUGAGCUGUAUUCAUUUUUCUGGGUCUCCCAUUAGAUCAAUUUCUUAUUGCUGCUAUAACAAAUUACUCCCACUUAGUGGCUAAGGGCAACACAAAUUUAUAUCUUAUAGU
RNAcentral lists this long non-coding RNA (2310 nucleotides) under Marmota monax (woodchuck). The record is from RNAcentral. Lineage: Eukaryota; Metazoa; Chordata; Mammalia; Rodentia; Sciuridae.